This 357-nucleotide ribosomal RNA is filed under the name Triticum aestivum (bread wheat). RNAcentral's name for it is "partial small subunit ribosomal RNA". Lineage: Eukaryota; Viridiplantae; Streptophyta; Magnoliopsida; Poales; Poaceae. The record is from RNAcentral.
AUGUCAUGUUGCAAGACAAUAAAAGAACCGGCUGAAGAGAGGCAUAUAGAUGCAUGCGUAUUAAUUGGCUACAAUCUUGAUGGCAUGCAGCUUUGUAAACUUCUAUAUAGAACAAAUUUGGUAGCUAAAUUAACAACCAAGAGUACAGUGCCGAUCCAUAUCAUCCAAUAUAUGCUAGCUAGCUGCACUAGCGAACAAGUCCACUCCAAAUUGAGACGACGUAAAUCAUGUUUGGGAGCUAUAGCUGCUAGUGGACGCAUGGGAGUAUACUGUCCCACCACAACCAGCUUAAUUUGGAAAAGGCAAACAAGUUUAUUAGAACCAAGCUUCUACGAUUAUACAAGUGAACACCUAUAA